This 305-nucleotide ribosomal RNA is filed under the name uncultured bacterium. RNAcentral describes it as "bacterial SSU rRNA". It matches the Rfam family "Bacterial small subunit ribosomal RNA", at positions 335 to 658 of the family's 1533-position model. The record is from RNAcentral.
AGCCUACGGGGCGCAGCAGUGGGGAAUCUUCCGCAAUGGGCGCAAGCCUGACGGAGCAAUGCCGCGUGAGUGAUGACGGCCUUCGGGUUGUAAAGCUCUGUCUUCAGGGACGAUAAUGACGGUACCUGAGGAGGAAGCCACGGCUAACUACGUGCCAGCAGCCGCGGUAAUACGUAGGUGGCGAGCGUUGUCCGGAUUUACUGGGCGUAAAGGGAGCGUAGGCGGACUUUUAAGUGAGAUGUGAAAUACUCGGGCUCAACUUGAGUGCUGCAUUUCAAACUGGAAGUCUAGAGUGCAGGAGAGGG